RNAcentral lists this ribosomal RNA (494 nucleotides) under uncultured bacterium. RNAcentral's name for it is "partial 16S ribosomal RNA". It matches the Rfam family "Bacterial small subunit ribosomal RNA", at positions 28 to 507 of the family's 1533-position model. The record is from RNAcentral.
GACGAACGCUGGCGGCGUGCUUAACACAUGCAAGUCGAACGGUGAAGCGCUUUCCUUUUUGGUGGGUGUGGAUGAGUGGCGAACGGGUGAGUAACACGUGAGUAACCUGCGCCCUUCUUCUGGAUAACCGCAUGAAAGCGUGGCUAAUACGGGAUAUUCUGGGUCUGUCGCAUGAUGGGUCUGGGACAGAUAUUGUUUCGGUGGGGGAUGGGCACGUGGCCUAUCAGCUUGUUGGUGGGUUGAUGGCCUACCAAGGCGAUGAGGGGUAGCCGGCUUGGGGGGGUUGGCGGGCCGACUGGGGAGGGGGAACGGCCACGACUGCUACGGGAGGCAGCCGGAGCGAAUACGGGACAAUGGAGGGAAGGAUAAUGCAGCGGCGAGGCGUCUGGGAUGGAGGCCCUCGGGUUGUGAAACUCUUUCGCUAGUGAAGCAGGCCUGCCUCGUAUGUGGGUGGAGUGACGGUAUCUGGAUAAGAAGCGCCGGCUAACUACGUG